ACACUUGAUCCUGGGUCACGUUUAAAAGAUGGGUGUUUAAGGGCUGUGGACGCGCCGCGCUCCCGANNAGAGUGUGCAAACUACUGCGCAGGAGAGGCUGCGGCGAGACCGCCACUGUAUUUCGGAGACGGCCACCCGCUAAGGGAGGGCCGAUCCCCAACGCCGACCCCCCGGAGGGGUUCGAGGGUUGAAAUGACGCUCGGACAGGCAUGCCCGCCAGAAUACUGGCGGGCGCAAUGUGCGUUCAAAGAUUCGAUGAUUCACUGAAUUCUGCAAUUCACAUUACUUAUCGCAUUUCGCUGCGUUCUUCAUCGAUGCCAGAACCAAGAGAUCCGUUGUUGAAAGUUUUGAUUCAUUUUCGAAACGCCUACGAGAGGCGCCGAGAAGGCUCAGAUUAUAAAAAACCCGCGAGGGGGUAUACAAAAAGAGUUUUGGUUGGUCCUCCGGCGGGCGCCUUGGUCCGGGGCUGCGACGCACCCGGGGCAGAGAUCCCGCCGAGGCAACAGUUUGGUAACGUUCACAUUGGGUUUGGGAGUUGAAAACUCGGUAAUGAUCCCUCCGCUGGUUCACCAACGGAGACCUUGUUACCACUUUUACUUCCCCCCCGACCCUGUCCCCGGCGGAGGAACCUUCUAAGGUUGCAAACGUUUUAUACUAUAACAUAACAGUUUUCCACGGGAGAGGCCUCAGCCGCUCGUCGUCCACUUUGCCCUUGCCCAUAGCGGUUUUUUCUCCUUUGGCGGGCUUUUUUUAUUUAGUCUGGUUUAUGGAUCAGGCCAGUCGUGUAGCUCUGUGGGGGUCGCGACAACCUCCGUCCCACACGCUCUCCUCUUCGCACUACCUCUUUGCCAACCGGCCCAACCAAUCGCG
This 870-nucleotide unclassified non-coding RNA is filed under the name Trichoderma harzianum. RNAcentral describes it as "sequence contains 18S rRNA gene, ITS1, 5.8S rRNA gene, ITS2 and 28S rRNA gene". Lineage: Eukaryota; Fungi; Ascomycota; Sordariomycetes; Hypocreales; Hypocreaceae. The record is from RNAcentral.